Molecule: transfer RNA, 78 nt
Filed under: Radix sp. MOTU5
Lineage: Eukaryota; Metazoa; Mollusca; Gastropoda; Lymnaeidae
Description: tRNA-Gly
Source: RNAcentral
UUUUUUAGUAGUAUAUUUAGUACACUUACCUUCCAAGUAAAAGGUUUUAUUUAACUCUUAGAGUAGGUUAAAAAAACC